RNAcentral lists this unclassified non-coding RNA (282 nucleotides) under plant metagenome. RNAcentral's name for it is "partial contains small subunit ribosomal RNA, internal transcribed spacer 1, and 5.8S ribosomal RNA". The stretch from base 1 to 52 matches the Rfam family "Eukaryotic small subunit ribosomal RNA", at positions 1778 to 1831 of the family's 1831-position model. The record is from RNAcentral.
GGAAGUAAAAGGUAACAAGGUUUCCGUAGGUGAACCUGCGGAAGGAUCAUUAUUGUAUAACCGAGGUGCGAGGGCUGUCGCUGACCGAAAGGUCGUGCACGCCCGAGUGCCCUCACACACAUCCAUCUCACCCCUAUGUGCACCACCGCGUGGGUCCCCCUUUGGCUUGUUCGGAGGGGGGCUUACGUUUUCACACAAACUUUGUAUGCAGUGUAGAAUGUAUUUUUUGUUUUUGCGAUCACGCAAUCAAUACAACUUUCAACAACGGAUCUCUUGGCUCUC